Molecule: ribosomal RNA, 317 nt
Filed under: uncultured eukaryote
Lineage: Eukaryota
Description: partial 18S ribosomal RNA
Rfam family: Eukaryotic small subunit ribosomal RNA
Source: RNAcentral
CCCUUAGAUGUUCUGGGCCGCACGCGCGCUACACUGAUGCAUUCAACGAGCCUAUCCUUGACCGACAGGUCCGGGUAAUCUUUGAAUCUGCAUCGUGACGGGGAUAGAUUAUUGCAAUUAUUAAUCUUCAACGAGGAAUGCCUAGUAGGCGCAAGUCAUCAGCUUGCGUCGAUUACGUCCCUGCCCUUUGUACACACCGCCCGUCGCUCCUACCGAUGGGUGAUCCGGUGAAUGAUUCGGACUUCAGCGGCUCCUCUGGGGUGCGCCGGAGAAAGUUUUGUGAACCUUAUCACUUGGAGGAAGGAGAAGUCGUAACA